RNAcentral lists this unclassified non-coding RNA (340 nucleotides) under soil metagenome. RNAcentral describes it as "partial contains 5.8S ribosomal RNA, internal transcribed spacer 2, and large subunit ribosomal RNA". The stretch from base 1 to 120 matches the Rfam family "5.8S ribosomal RNA", at positions 35 to 154 of the family's 154-position model. The record is from RNAcentral.
GAUGAAGAACGUAGCGAAAUGCGAUAAGUAGUGUGAAUUGCAGAAUUCAGUGAAUCAUCGAAUCUUUGAACGCACAUUGCGCCCCUCGGUAUUCCGUGGGGCAUGCCUGUUCGAGCGUCAUUUAACCCCUCAAGCCUAGCUUGGUAUUGGGUGCUUGUCCCGCCUCUCGCGCGGCGACUCACCUCAAAGUCAUUGGCAGCCCGCAUCUCGCCGGCCGUGAGCGCAGCACAGACGCGCUCUUGGCAACGACGGAUCGGCUCUCCAAAAGCUUAUUUCAACCACUGACCUCGGAUCAGGUAGGGAUACCCGCUGAACUUAAGCAUAUUCAAUAAGCGGAGGA